RNAcentral lists this ribosomal RNA (194 nucleotides) under uncultured bacterium. RNAcentral describes it as "partial 16S ribosomal RNA". It matches the Rfam family "Bacterial small subunit ribosomal RNA", at positions 338 to 524 of the family's 1533-position model. The record is from RNAcentral.
UUUACGGGAGGCAGCAGUGGGGAAUAUUGCACAAUGGGGGAAACCCUGAUGCAGCCAUGCCGCGUGUGUGAAGAAGGCCUUCGGGUUGUAAAGCACUUUCAGCGAGGAGGAAAGGUGAGUAGUUAAUAACUGCUCGCUGUGACGUUACUCGCAGAAGAAGCACCGGCUAACUCCGUGCCAGCAGCCGCGGUAAU